UACGUAGGGGCUAGCGUUAUCCGGAUUUACUGGGCGUAAAGGGAGCGUAGGCGGACUUUUAAGUGAGAUGUGAAAUACCCGGGCUCAACUUGGGUGCUGCAUUUCAAACUGGAAGUCUAGAGUGCAGGAGAGGAGAAUGGAAUUCCUAGUGUAGCGGUGAAAUGCGUAGAGAUUAGGAAGAACACCAGUGGCGAAGGCGAUUCUCUGGACUGUAACUGACGCUGAGGCUCGAAAGCGUGGGGAGCAAACAGGAUUAGAUACCCGCGUAGU
This 270-nucleotide ribosomal RNA is filed under the name uncultured prokaryote. RNAcentral's name for it is "partial 16S ribosomal RNA". It matches the Rfam family "Bacterial small subunit ribosomal RNA", at positions 524 to 794 of the family's 1533-position model. The record is from RNAcentral.